UGGGGAAUAUUGCACAAUGGGGGGGAACCCUGAUGCAGCGACGCCGCGUGAGGGAAGAAGGUUUUCGGAUUGUAAACCUCUGUCCUCUGUGACGAUAAUGACGGUAGCAGAGGAGGAAGCCACGGCUAACUACGUGCC
Molecule: ribosomal RNA, 138 nt
Filed under: uncultured bacterium
Lineage: Bacteria
Description: partial 16S ribosomal RNA
Rfam family: Bacterial small subunit ribosomal RNA
Source: RNAcentral